UAACCGAUCUCGCGUAAUGCUCUAGAUUUANNGUUGAUCAUGGCUCAGCACUGAGACGCUUGGUCGUGCCAGCCUAACACAUGCAAGUCGAGCGGUAACACAGGGAGCUUGCUCCUGGGUGACGAGCGGCGGACGGGUGAGUAAUGUCUGGGAAACUGCCUGAUGGAGGGGGAUAACUACUGGAAACGGUAGCUAAUACCGCAUAACGUCUUCGGACCAAAGUGGGGGACCUUCGGGCCUCAUGCCAUCAGAUGUGCCCAGAUGGGAUUAGCUAGUAGGUGGGGCAACGGCUCACCUAGGCGACGAUCCCUAGCUGGUCUGAGAGGAUGACCAGCCACACUGGAACUGAGACACGGUCCAGACUCCUACGGGAGGCAGCAGUGGGGAAUAUUGCACAAUGGGCGCAAGCCUGAUAGCAGCCAUGCCGCGUGUAUGAAGAAGGCCUUCGGGUUGUAAAGUACUUUCAGCGAGGAGGAAGGCAUUAAGGUUAAUAACCUUGGUGAUUGACGUUACUCGCAGAAGAAGCACCGGCUAAACUACCGUGCCAGCAAGCGCGGUAAUUACGGAGGGGUUGGCCCAAAGGCCGGUUUAAAUUCGGGGGAAAAAUUUAACCCUAGGGGGCNGGUUAAAAAANACGGCGCACACCACAGGGCGGGGGCUUGUUGUCACAAAGUCUCNCGGAUUUUUAAAAUCCCCCCCGGGGGGUCUUCAAAACCCUUGGGAAACUCUGNGUUUUCUCAANACCAUGGGCGCGNGGCCUAAGAGUCUCUUUUAUCA
This 777-nucleotide ribosomal RNA is filed under the name uncultured bacterium. Its description in RNAcentral is "bacterial SSU rRNA". The stretch from base 62 to 577 matches the Rfam family "Bacterial small subunit ribosomal RNA", at positions 35 to 539 of the family's 1533-position model. The record is from RNAcentral.